Molecule: ribosomal RNA, 111 nt
Filed under: Cylindrotheca closterium
Lineage: Eukaryota; Bacillariophyta; Bacillariophyceae; Bacillariales; Bacillariaceae
Description: partial Eukaryotic small subunit ribosomal RNA
Source: RNAcentral
GGAUAUGCAAAUGAUGGAAAGUUUGGUGGAAAGUUUGGGUUCUGCGAAGACUUUGAAGGUGAUGGCGGAUGGGCGUUCUUCAUCGGUGAGAUGGACGAUAACAAUUGCGAG